GGAAAGUAUGAACUUAUUUAAACAAUAAGCACAUGCUAAGCCAGCUGGUGCAGUCUGCAGGGACAGAAUAUAUGGGUCAGCAUAUUCCAUCAUCAGCAUUUUUCUAUUCUGGUAAAGCACCUGCUUGAGUAAACAGACAACAUGGGGCCCCAGUGCAGCAAAAUUACAUUAUUAAAGAGACAGCUUCCCAAAUUUGUGGCCUACUUAGAUUUUUCUCUCUCUAGAAACAAGCUAAAUCUUGUCAAAAGGAAGCCCUGUGCUUUAUAAACAUGCUUCAAUCAGACACCGAAUUCCUUUAACUGUUGCACACAUAACAAAUAGCAUCAAAGAUACUAUAAUUACAUUAGAUAGUGAACUUCUGUGGCAUUUUGUUUACGUCAUCUGAGACAAUUUAUUAGUGUAAAAAGGUAAAGAUUUUCCUGUUACAGUUUUAGUUAAGACAAGAGAACUGCCUGAUUGGUUAGUUAAGUUGAGAGAACACUUUUUCAAAGAACUACCCAAUGAAUUCCAGCUCUGAAUGAUUCUAUAUAGUCUCUCCCUCCUCCUCCCCCUUUUCCUCUUGGAAUGAUGAGAGGUGUUUGGCUGGGGGUGAUGUCAUUCAUUUUUUGUCCUGGGUGUGUGUUUUUGAUGCUUUUUAAUAUUCUAAUUUCAUGGUUUAAAUGAUGACACAAAGCAUUCAUUUAAUGACAUAAUGUGUUCAUUGUUUUUAUUUUUUAUAUUUAAAUGUUAUGCAUUUAAAUGU
Molecule: long non-coding RNA, 742 nt
Organism: Anolis carolinensis (green anole)
Lineage: Eukaryota; Metazoa; Chordata; Lepidosauria; Squamata; Anolidae
Exons: 2
Source: RefSeq, a predicted model, not a curated record